GAUGAACGCUGGCGGCGUGCCUAAUACAUGCAAGUCGAGCGAACAGAUGAGGAGCUUGCUCCUCUGACGUUAGCGGCGGACGGGUGAGUAACACAUGGAUAACCUACCUAUAAGACUGGGAUAACUUCGGGAAACCGGAGCUAAUACCGGAUAAUAUAUUGAACCGCAUGGUUCAAUAGUGAAAGACGGUUUUGCUGUCACUUAUAGAUGGAUCCGCGCCGCAUUAGCUAGUUGGUAAGGUAACGGCUUACCAAGGCAACGAUGCGUAGCCGACCUGAGAGGGUGAUCGGCCACACUGGAACUGAGACACGGUCCAGACUCCUACGGGAGGCAGCAGUAGGGAAUCUGCCGCAAUGGGCGAAAGCCUGACGGAGCAACGCCGCGUGAGUGAUGAAGGUCUUCGGAUCGUAAAACUCUGUUAUUAGGGAAGAACAAAUGUGUAAGUAACUAUGCACGUCUUGACGGUACCUAAUCAGAAAGCCACGGCUAACUACGUG
This 497-nucleotide ribosomal RNA is filed under the name uncultured bacterium. Its description in RNAcentral is "partial 16S ribosomal RNA". It matches the Rfam family "Bacterial small subunit ribosomal RNA", at positions 28 to 507 of the family's 1533-position model. The record is from RNAcentral.